This 626-nucleotide ribosomal RNA is filed under the name uncultured Penicillium. Its description in RNAcentral is "eukaryotic LSU rRNA". The stretch from base 246 to 398 matches the Rfam family "5.8S ribosomal RNA". Lineage: Eukaryota; Fungi; Ascomycota; Eurotiomycetes; Eurotiales; Aspergillaceae. The record is from RNAcentral.
UCUUGGGUCUUUAGAGGAAGUAAAAGUCGUAACAAGGUUUCCGUAGGUGAACCUGCGGAAGGAUCAUUACCGAGUGAGGGCCCUCUGGGUCCAACCUCCCACCCGUGUUUAUUUUACCUUGUUGCUUCGGCGGGCCCGCCUUAACUGGCCGCCGGGGGGCUUACGCCCCCGGGCCCGCGCCCGCCGAAGACACCCUCGAACUCUGUCUGAAGAUUGAAGUCUGAGUGAAAAUAUAAAUUAUUUAAAACUUUCAACAACGGAUCUCUUGGUUCCGGCAUCGAUGAAGAACGCAGCGAAAUGCGAUACGUAAUGUGAAUUGCAAAUUCAGUGAAUCAUCGAGUCUUUGAACGCACAUUGCGCCCCCUGGUAUUCCGGGGGGCAUGCCUGUCCGAGCGUCAUUGCUGCCCUCAAGCCCGGCUUGUGUGUUGGGCCCCGUCCCCCGAUCUCCGGGGGACGGGCCCGAAAGGCAGCGGCGGCACCGCGUCCGGUCCUCGAGCGUAUGGGGCUUUGUCACCCGCUCUGUAGGCCCGGCCGGCGCUUGCCGAUCAACCCAAAUUUUUAUCCAGGUUGACCUCGGAUCAGGUAGGGAUACCCGCUGAACUUAAGCAUAUCAAUAACGGGAGGAA